This 420-nucleotide ribosomal RNA is filed under the name uncultured archaeon. Its description in RNAcentral is "bacterial SSU rRNA". It matches the Rfam family "Archaeal small subunit ribosomal RNA", at positions 459 to 879 of the family's 1478-position model. The record is from RNAcentral.
CAGCCGCCGCGGUAACACCGGCAGCCCAAGUGGUAGCCACGAUUAUUGGGUCUAAAGCGUCCGUAGCCGGCCAGGUAAGUUCUUUGGGAAAUUUAACCGCUCAACGGUUAAGCUUUCAGGGAAUACUGCUUGGCUUGGGACCGGGAGAGGUCAGAGGUACUUCAAGGGUAGGGGUGAAAUCCGUUAAUCCUUGAGGGACCACCAGUAGCGAAGGCGUCUGACCAGACCGGGUCCGACGGUGAGGGACGAAGGCUAGGUCGCGAACCGGAUUAGAUACCCGGGUAGUCCUAGCUGUAAACGAUGCGGGCCAGGUGUUGGCAUUACUGCGAGUGAUGUCAGUGCCGAAGGGAAGCCGUUAAGCCCGCCAUCUGGGGAGUACGGUCGCAAGGCUGAAACUUAAAGGAAUUGGCGGGGGAGCAC